UUGCACAGUGAACACCCAAGUGUGCUUUGUAGUUCCCUUGGCUAGAACUCUGUGCUAGAGUAAUCUGUUCUUUUCCUCUGCAUUAGAAGGAGUGCCUUUCCUUUUACAUGUAUUCAGAAGGACAGUACAUUU
Chelonoidis abingdonii (Abingdon island giant tortoise) is the source of this 132-nucleotide small nucleolar RNA. The record is from Ensembl. Lineage: Eukaryota; Metazoa; Chordata; Testudines; Testudinidae.